Molecule: long non-coding RNA, 587 nt
Filed under: Mustela putorius furo (domestic ferret)
Lineage: Eukaryota; Metazoa; Chordata; Mammalia; Carnivora; Mustelidae
Description: lncRNA (ENSMPUG00000030866.1)
Source: RNAcentral
GCGAGCUGGGUGGACAGCGGCGUUCGGGGACUCUAAGGACGCGGUGGCUUAGCGCUGGGAGGUGGAGCCGGCGUGCUUUGAGGGUUUUUUUGCUGUGUUUGAAUAGUUUGAAUGAUAAUACAUCAGAAUGAACAGGAAUCAGAAAGGAAUAACUUUGAAUGAGCCUACAUUAUCUUUAAGAUCACUCAUUCUGAGGAAGAAAGCUCCCAUGUCAGGAAGACAAUCAUGCAGUUUUGCAGAGAUCCACGUAGUGAGGAACUGAGGUGUCCUGCAACUUGCAAGCCGUAAAAAAAAAAGUCACUGAAUAUCUUGGCACGUGAUUCACAGCUGGGACUUACUAUCCUCUUCAAAAUUUUUUCCUCUUUCCCAGUAAAGCCCUGAAUGAGUGAACAUAUUAGAAUGUAAGAACUACUGUAAUUUUGUUUGUCUUUAAAAUGUAUUUGGGGUAAUGUUGUUCCAGUCUGAUCUAAGAAGAAAAAUAAAAUUAUAGUUGAAGUAUUGCAUUUCUGGCAAAUGUAAUUUCUGGCAAAUUUAUGUUGCCUAUAGCUCUUGUCUCAUAAAUUCAACAAAAUUCAUUUCGAUUAAGU